Molecule: unclassified non-coding RNA, 296 nt
Organism: Callithrix jacchus (white-tufted-ear marmoset)
Lineage: Eukaryota; Metazoa; Chordata; Mammalia; Primates; Cebidae
Rfam family: Metazoan signal recognition particle RNA
About the family: The signal recognition particle (SRP) is a universally conserved ribonucleoprotein. It is involved in the co-translational targeting of proteins to membranes.
Source: Ensembl
GCCGGGUGGGGUGGCAGGCGCCUGUAAUCCCAGCUCCCCAGGAGGCUAAGGUCGGCGGAUCAUGGGUGCUUGGGAGUUCAGGGCUGCGGCUGUGUAGAGCAGGCGUCCGCACCGGGCCUGGCACCAACAUGGGGUUCCCGGGGGAGCCCGGGGGUGCCAGGUUGUCUAAGGAGUGGGGGACCAGGCCCAGGCCCGACACGGAGCAGGUGAAACUCCUCAUGCUGGGUGGCGGUGGGACCGCGCCCACGAGCAACACCUGCAGUUCCCCUCUGGACAUCCGACGAGACCCAGUCUCU